GACGAACGCUGGCGGCGUGCUUAACACAUGCAAGUCGAACGGAAAGGCCUCUUUCGGGGGGUACUCGAGUGGCGAACGGGUGAGUAACACGUGAGUAACCUGCCCUUGACUUUGGGAUAACUUCAGGAAACUGGGGCUAAUACCGGAUAGGAGCUCCUGCUGCAUGGUGGGGGUUGGAAAGUUUCGGCGGUUGGGGAUGGACUCGCGGCUUAUCAGCUUGUUGGUGGGGUAGUGGCUUACCAAGGCUUUGACGGGUAGCCGGCCUGAGAGGGUGACCGGCCACAUUGGGACUGAGAUACGGCCCAGACUCCUACGGGAGGCAGAAGUGGGGAAUAUUGCACAAGGGGUGGAAGCCUGAUGCAGCAACGCCGUGUGCGGGAUGACGGCCUUCGGGUUGUAAACCGAUUUCGCUCAUGACGAAGCUUUGUGUGACGGUAGUGGGUAAAGAAGCACCGGCUAACUACGUG
RNAcentral lists this ribosomal RNA (467 nucleotides) under uncultured bacterium. RNAcentral's name for it is "partial 16S ribosomal RNA". It matches the Rfam family "Bacterial small subunit ribosomal RNA", at positions 28 to 507 of the family's 1533-position model. The record is from RNAcentral.